This 459-nucleotide ribosomal RNA is filed under the name uncultured bacterium. RNAcentral describes it as "partial 16S ribosomal RNA". It matches the Rfam family "Bacterial small subunit ribosomal RNA", at positions 338 to 795 of the family's 1533-position model. The record is from RNAcentral.
CCUACGGGCGGCAGCAGUGAGGAAUAUUGGUCAAUGGACGAGAGUCUGAACCAGCCAAGUAGCGUGAAGGAUGACUGCCCUAUGGGUUGUAAACUUCUUUUAUAUGGGAAUAAAAUGUUCCACGUGUGGGAUUUUGUAUGUACCAUAUGAAUAAGGAUCGGCUAACUCCGUGCCAGCAGCCGCGGUAAUACGGAGGAUCCGAGCGUUAUCCGGAUUUAUUGGGUUUAAAGGGAGCGUAGGUGGAUUGUUAAGUCAGUUGUGAAAGUUUGCGGCUCAACCGUAAAAUUGCAGUUGAAACUGGCAGUCUUGAGUACAGUAGAGGUGGGCGGAAUUCGUGGUGUAGUGGUGAAAUGCUUAGAUAUCACGAAGAACUCCGAUUGCGAAGGCAGUUCACUGGACUGCAACUGACACUGAGGCUCGAAAGUGUGGGUAUCAAACAGGAUUAGAUACCCAGUAGUC